UACGUAGGGACCGAGCGUUGUCCGGAUUCAUUGGGCGUAAAGAGCUCGUAGGCGGCUGCUCAAGUCGAAUGUGAAAACUCGAGGCUCAACCUCGAGCCUGCAUUCGAUACUGGGCGGCUAGAGUCUGGUAGGGGGGAUCUGGAAUUCCUGGUGUAGCGGUGGAAUGCGCAGAUAUCAGGAGGAACACCGGAGUGAAGCGGAGACCGUGUCGUGGACUUAACGUACUGAGGACGAAGAACUGGGGGAGCAACAGGAUUAGAACUUACUUAGUCAG
RNAcentral lists this ribosomal RNA (274 nucleotides) under uncultured bacterium. RNAcentral describes it as "partial 16S ribosomal RNA". It matches the Rfam family "Bacterial small subunit ribosomal RNA", at positions 524 to 793 of the family's 1533-position model. The record is from RNAcentral.